This 352-nucleotide ribosomal RNA is filed under the name uncultured bacterium. RNAcentral describes it as "partial 16S ribosomal RNA". It matches the Rfam family "Bacterial small subunit ribosomal RNA", at positions 338 to 687 of the family's 1533-position model. The record is from RNAcentral.
CCUACGGGGGGCAGCAGUGAGGAAUAUUGGUCAAUGGACGAGAGUCUGAACCAGCCAAGUAGCGUGAAGGAUGACUGCCCUAUGGGUUGUAAACUUCUUUUAUAUGGGAAUAAAAUGUUCCACGUGUGUGAUUUUGUAUGUACCAUAUGAAUAAGGAUCGGCUAACUCCGUGCCAGCAGCCGCGGUAAUACGGAGGAUUCGAGCGUUAUCCGGAUUUAUUGGGUUUAAAGGGAGCGUAGGUGGUUUGUUAAGUUAGUUGUGAAAGUUUGCGGCUCAACCGUAAAAAUGCAGUUGAAACUGGCGGUCUUGAGUAUAGUAGAGGUGAGCGGAAAUCGUGGUGUAGCGGUGAAAU